RNAcentral lists this ribosomal RNA (1211 nucleotides) under Salmonella enterica subsp. enterica serovar Typhimurium. RNAcentral describes it as "partial 23S ribosomal RNA". It matches the Rfam family "Bacterial large subunit ribosomal RNA", at positions 419 to 1547 of the family's 2925-position model. The record is from RNAcentral. Lineage: Bacteria; Pseudomonadati; Pseudomonadota; Gammaproteobacteria; Enterobacterales; Enterobacteriaceae.
GGGACACGUGGUAUCCUGUCUGAAUAUGGGGGGACCAUCCUCCAAGGCUAAAUACUCCUGACUGACCGAUAGUGAACCAGUACCGUGAGGGAAAGGCGAAAAGAACCCCGGCGAGGGGAGUGAAAAAGAACCUGAAACCGUGUACGUACAAGCAGUGGGAGCACAGGUUUACCUGUGUGACUGCGUACCUUUUGUAUAAUGGGUCAGCGACUUAUAUUCUGUAGCAAGGUUAACCGUAUAGGGGAGCCGGAGGGAAACCGAGUCUUAAUUGGGCGUUAAGUUGCAGGGUAUAGACCCGAAACCCGGUGAUCUAGCCAUGGGCAGGUUGAAGGUUGGGUAACACUAACUGGAGGACCGAACCGACUAAUGUUGAAAAAUUAGCGGAUGACCUGUGGCUGGGGGUGAAAGGCCAAUCAAACCGGGAGAUAGCUGGUUCUCCCCGAAAGCUAUUUAGGUAGCGCCUCGUGAAUUCAUCUCCGGGGGUAGAGCACUGUUUCGGCUAGGGGGCCAUCCCGGCUUACCAACCCGAUGCAAACUGCGAAUACCGGAGAAUGUUAUCACGGGAGACACACGGCGGGUGCUAACGUCCGUCGUGAAGAGGGAAACAACCCAGACCGCCAGCUAAGGUCCCAAAGUCAUGGUUAAGUGGGAAACGAUGUGGGAAGGCCCAGACAGCCAGGAUGUUGGCUUAGAAGCAGCCAUCAUUUAAAGAAAGCGUAAUAGCUCACUGGUCGAGUCGGCCUGCGCGGAAGAUGUAACGGGGCUAAACCAUGCACCGAAGCUGCGGCAGCGAACGUAUCACCCAAGACAACUUUACGGAGUUGACGAUUGACGGAGCGAAGCGACGUCAAAGCGUUCAUUAAAGUCGAGUUGGCUUAGGGAUACGUUCGUUGGGUAGGGGAGCGUUCUGUAAGCCUGUGAAGGUGUGUCGUGAGGCAUGCUGGAGGUAUCAGAAGUGCGAAUGCUGACAUAAGUAACGAUAAAGCGGGUGAAAAGCCCGCUCGCCGGAAGACCAAGGGUUCCUGUCCAACGUUAAUCGGGGCAGGGUGAGUCGACCCCUAAGGCGAGGCCGAAAGGCGUAGUCGAUGGGAAACGGGUUAAUAUUCCCGUACUUGGUGUUACUGCGAAGGGGGGACGGAGAAGGCUAUGUUGGCCGGGCGACGGUUGUCCCGGUUUAAGCGUGUAGGUGUGUGUUCCAGGUAAAUCCGGUU